UCUAAGUUUGAUGGCGACCGGCGCACGGGUGAGUAACACGUAUCCAACCUGCCCUUUACUCGGGGAUAGCCUUUCGAAAGAAAGAUUAAUACCCGAUAGUAUAAUGAUUCCGCAUGGUUUGAUUAUUAAAGGAUUCCGGUAAAGGAUGGGGAUGCGUUCCAUUAGGUUGUUGGUGAGGUAACGGCUCACCAAGCCUUCGAUGGAUAGGGGUUCUGAGAGGAAGGUCCCCCACAUUGGAACUGAGACACGGUCCAA
RNAcentral lists this ribosomal RNA (255 nucleotides) under uncultured bacterium. RNAcentral's name for it is "partial 16S ribosomal RNA". It matches the Rfam family "Bacterial small subunit ribosomal RNA", at positions 78 to 334 of the family's 1533-position model. The record is from RNAcentral.